This 208-nucleotide ribosomal RNA is filed under the name uncultured Leptotrichia sp. RNAcentral's name for it is "partial 16S ribosomal RNA". It matches the Rfam family "Bacterial small subunit ribosomal RNA", at positions 149 to 354 of the family's 1533-position model. The record is from RNAcentral. Lineage: Bacteria; Fusobacteriati; Fusobacteriota; Fusobacteriia; Fusobacteriales; Leptotrichiaceae.
GAGGGAAACGUUACUGAUAAUACUGGAUAAGUUAGUAUAUCGCAUGAUAUGCAAAUGAAAGCUACGGCACUAAAGGAGAGCUUUGCGUCCUAUUAGCUAGUCGGUAAGGUAAGAGCUUACCAAGGCGAUGAUAGGUAGCCGGCCUGAGAGGGUGGACGGCCACAAGGGGACUGAGAUACGGCCCUUACUCCUACGGGAGGCAGCAGGC